Molecule: ribosomal RNA, 200 nt
Filed under: uncultured Glomus
Lineage: Eukaryota; Fungi; Glomeromycota; Glomeromycetes; Glomerales; Glomeraceae
Description: partial small subunit ribosomal RNA
Rfam family: Eukaryotic small subunit ribosomal RNA
Source: RNAcentral
CCAAUAGCGUAUAUUAAAGUUGUUGCAGUUAAAAAGCUCGUAGUUGAAUUUCGAGAUCAGUACGCUGGUCGUGCCUUCGGUAUGCACUGGUGUCACUGGUUUCUCCCUUCUGAAGAACCGUCAUGUCAUUAAGUUGAUGUGGCGGGGAAUCAGGACUGUUACUUUGAAAAAAUUAGAGUGUUUAAAGCAGGCUCGCGCUU